CCUACGGGUGGCAGCAGUGGGGAAUAUUGCACAAUGGGGGAAACCCUGAUGCAGCGACGCCGCGUGAAGGAAGAAGUAUUUCGGUAUGUAAACUUCUAUCAGCAGGGAAGAAAAUGACGGUACCUGACUAAGAAGCCCCGGCUAACUACGUGCCAGAAGCCGUGGUAAUACGUAGGGGGCAAGCGUUAUCCGGAUUUAAUGGGUGUAAAGGGUGCGGAGGCGGGGAUGCAAGUCAGAAGUGAAAGUCCGGGGCUCAAACCCGGGACUGCUUUUGAAACUGUGUUGCUAGAGUGCAGGAGAGGUAAGUGGAAGUCCUAGGGGAGCGGUGAAAGGCGUAGAUAUUAGGAGGAACACCAGUGGCGAAGGCGGCUUACUGGACUGUAAAUGACGCUGAGGCUCGAAAGCGUGGGGAGCAAACAGGAUUAGAUACCCUAGUAGUC
Molecule: ribosomal RNA, 440 nt
Filed under: uncultured bacterium
Lineage: Bacteria
Description: partial 16S ribosomal RNA
Rfam family: Bacterial small subunit ribosomal RNA
Source: RNAcentral